AACUAUCACAAAAGGAGUCUUCUUCCGAUCCACCGAUUCCAAAUCAGCCUUUAUGAAAUCAUACUGCUUGCUUCCAGGAAGAAAAUUAGUCUCAGUAGACAUGUAAAGAAAGUGGACCACUCCCAUAUCAAAUGAGUAGUACAGGUUCCGGGUGGCCGGGGCCUUCAUUCCAGUGGGUUCCGAGGAAUUGCCAGGCAUGUUGAACCUAAGGCUGUAAGGUACUCCACAUUCACCUCCCCCGUCUGUUCCAUAUAUUGUUCGGGCCCACUGGGGCUUCCAAGGUUGCGAUGGCCAAUCAUACUCAUGAUUGCCAAUACACACAUGGUAUGGAACUUGGGCAGCGACGGGCUCGAUCUGAGUGAAGAAAUGGUCCCACAACCAAGAGUAACCUCUUGCAUAGCUGAUAUCUCCAAUGUGAGACACAAAACUUGGCCUGUUCCCUAGAGCUUCAAUGUCACGGAGGAUCCACUUUAUGGUUGUUAUGCUCUCAUCUUGUGUGCGGUAGAAUGUCGUGUAUGGUGUUGCAGUUCCCAUAUCUCCAAAUAAAAAUGCUAUCGUCUCAUCCGAGUCUUUAGCCCUAGGCAUAAAGCUGUACGUUUCACUCCAACCACCAGAGUCGCUCCCAACCUGUUGCGAGAGUAUGGAAAUUCCAAUCACCAAGAGGUACUAGUCCCAAUCGAAUUUCGAGCAUGCUUAUAUCAGUUGUGAUACUUCUACAACUGAAAAGACUAAUCACACAGAACACCAAAUUCUACUGAGAAAGCAGACAAGCCCCAUUAACAUCAUGACAGAUUCUAUGAUUCUAUCCCAUGUAUUUAUUGCCUGAGAGACCAAACAGUCAUGCAUUCACACUGGGAAUUCUGCGUGAACCAUACCGUUCAUGGACAAGACCAAGGGAAAGCCCAAUCCGUGCAUGGUUUCCACAUGCAAAAAUAUGAUGGAAUUCAACGCACCUUUUUGAAGGGUGGUGAGGCAGCAGCAACUAGCAACUAAACCAGCAUCGACAUGUAUCCAAACCACCAGGACAACAGCAAACUCACAACCAUACCAUUUUCUCUUAGCCAUCAAAAAGAAAUGAAAGUGCUGACCCAACAUGAACCUUAAUCUAAAAAGAACAAUCAAAGCAAUCAAACCUAGCAAGACUUCCAUUUUAUACAUAAUCAAAUAACAAAAACUGAUCACAAACCCUUGACUAAAAAAAAAAACUGAUCACAAACCUCAUAAAGCACAAUUCAAACACCAGCUCACCUGAUAAUAAUACCUCACCCCACCCUUCAAAUUCCUCAUGACCGCAUCAUGAGUCCACCCAGGAUCCCUCCACCCGACGCUAUCGUUCGCCGGCGCGUCGCACAUGUCGUCCCUCUCGUACCUCCCCGCACGCGCCGUCGCCAACUCGCCCAUCUUCCCCUCUCUCUUCCCGUACCUGACGUACCUCCGGCCGCCGUCCUCAGCCACGAACAUGACCCGCAUCUCAUCCUCCCGAUCCGUGUACGACAGGUGGACCUGCUCCGGUCCGCGGCCCGGCUCGAACCCGGCCUCCUCGGAGGCGCCGAGGAAGUGCUUCGCGCCCGGCAGGGGGUUGUGGUCGUGGUCGAGCCGGGUGCGGUCGACCUCGGUCUCGGACCACCGGAAGAUUCGGAAGGAGUAGUUGGAGCGGAGGUUGGGCAAGGGGAGGGAGACGGAGCCCGACCCGGAGGAGAGGUGGGCCGGGUCGGAGGAGAGGAAGACGUAGCCGAUGAAGAGGUCGUGCGGGGAGUCGGGAGGGGAGUAGACGCCGAGCCAGUCGAGGCUGGAGGGGGAGUCGACGCCGGACCAUCGGAUCCGGAUCGGGUCGCCGGAUUUGGAGAGGAUCUUGGGGGAGAUGGACAGGGAGGGUGCGGAUUCGGUUGAUGGGUCGAGGAGGGAGAGGAGGGAGAUGACGAGAAGAGGGAUCAUGGUGGCGAUGGUGGCGGUGGCGGUGGCGGUGGCGGUGGAGGCGGAGGUGGUUGAGACCGGUGGUGGUUUUAUCGGGCGAACUGGCGGCGAUCGCGGGUUUCGUUUGGCGUGGAAGGGAUAUUGUGGUGGGACUUUCGGGAUUAUAUUUCGGAUAGAUUGAUGAAAGACAAACGUGAAAAUCGGGAAUAUGCUUCGGACAUAUUCUAAUUAAUCAUGCUUACGAUACUUAGCAUUCGCCGUAAGAAAAAGUUGAUCUUCAUCACCUUUACUCCCCAUCUCAUGUCGAGUAUGCUCAAAUGGAUGCAAUUAUGUUGGAGAUUUUUUAUAUGUAUGGAUCAUAGAUAUAUCAUAUAUAUGUAGAUUUUCGAACUUUAUUGGACAUUUUAAAAGUUUUACUACUCAAUUGAAAUUUUAAUGACAAAUUUAAGAACUUGAUUGUUCUUUUCUUUUCAAAAAUUGUAGGACUUAAUUAUACUUUCAUGAUAAGUUUUAAGAUAGAUUAUAUUUUGAAGUGGGGCUACUGUUUUGACAUCUUGAUUUCACAAUUUGAGAUUAAAUCCCGAGAGCUUAGCCGAGGUGUAUCACACACGCAUGUUCCUAGGCCAUCUAAAUUUUCAAUUUCAUUUUUUUCUUCAAAAAAUGAAUAAUUUAGAAGAUAAUUUUCUAAAAAUGAUACUUAUAUAGCUUAAAAAAUUGAAUGAGCAAAAAAUAUUUUCUUUAUCUACGGAAAUAUUUAGAUAUAAAUUAUUGUUGAUAAUGAAAAUAUUUUUAAUUAACCAAUUAUUUUAAACAAUAGAAACGAUUAAUUUUAGGAAAUAUUUUUUAGAUUAUUCAUUCUCUAUGAAGCAAAUUCAUUUCGAUCCAAGUUUUCCCCAUACAUUUGUGAUGCCCUUCUAAAAUGUUGUGGAAAUAAAGAGCUUAACGAACUCAACACCAGUAAUUUGUGAGUCCAAGAUUGGGAAUAUAUGUUGAAGCUUAUCAUUUGUGCAUUCGAAUUACUAUGAUUUCAUAACUUUCUCGUAAUAAACAGGCAUUAUCGACAUGGUUAUUCUAUAUAGUAUAUAUCUAGAAAUAGGAAAAACUACCAAUUUAGUUAUAACCAUCUCAAUUUUGUCAAAGAAAUAAUAAGUCUUUAUACGAAAUUUCAAUGCAAUCUUUCCCGCGAAUUACUUUGAGUUUUCAUCAAUUAUCCAAUUAUAAAAACUACAAUUUUAUUUUUCUCCACUGAAUAAGCCUUCCAAGAACACCCGUGGGAAUCGUCAAUCCAAACCAUGGAUCCGAUUCGUCAAUUCAAAUUUCAAGAUUAAUCCGGCCAUCCCACCUCAUUUCUUGAAGUGGGUUUUCAGUAAUAUCAUUGUUGAGGCGUGACUAGUGAUUAUAUGCAAUCCUCAAGUGAAAUGUGGGCUUUCAUAUGUGCAGGUUAUCGAGUCGACCUUCGGCAGCUGCUCGUCAUUUUUCACGAGCAUUCUCUCUUUCUGAGUUUCAUUUGCAGAGUUCUAAACAAGGAGCGGUUUUUCUUCUUCUUUCUUCUACUUUGGGGGUCUGCGUCUGUGGGGGACUUGUUUUGACCAUCUUCGAGUUCUUUUCACCUGAGACUCUCUCCGAAUUCCAGGUACCCAGUUGCUUGUUUCCUUUUUCUUUUUCUUUUUUUGAUAAAAGGUAUGAAUAUAUUGAUGUUUAACCAGAAAGCUAUAAAUAGCUAUACAAUAAGAGCUCGGUCCCAGAAACUUGCACUCAUAGAGACGGGAGUCAGAGUGAGUGGAAAGGGGCCGAGGUAAAAGAAAGUAGAAACAGGCAACAGCAAAAGAAAAGAAGGCAAGAGCACCAGCUAGCCUACUCCGAUACAGAGAACAGAGAGGCUACAAAAACAAAAGAAACCGGAAACCCACUCAAAGACGGGUAGAAAGGAUGCUGCCGACGCCAACGAAAGGAGCGAAGAACAUCAAUCCGAGCUUCCGCAUCAGCAGCUUGUAGUUAUGAAAAACCUCCAAACAAGAGAUAGUUAAGGAACCCCCUACUCAAGAAGUCGGGCCACCAUUGGGAUAUGCUAAUCCGCCAAGAUAGAGGGAUUGAGCGACCAACUUUGCAGCAGUCUUCUAUUUGUAGAGGUGGGAGGGACGUGAUGGAAGGACAAUGCUUUGUCCUUAAUGACUCUUUCAAGAUGCAUUUUCAUGGCCGAGAGGGAGGGAGGUCUACCCCGGAAAAGGAUGUUAUCCCGCUCCUUCCAAAUGAUAUUGCACAUAGCAGCAAACCCAAACCGAGCAAGAGAAGAGCGAAAAGAAGCCUAGAUAAGUAUUUGAUCGCCCAGAACAAAUUAUCCAACCAAGAAUUGUUCCGCCAAGCAAAAUUGAAUCUAGCAGCCUAGAAAAUCGCUAAGGCAGAAGGUAUACAACACCCAAAAAAUAAGUGGUCGACCGAGUCGGGCCUAUAAGAGCAGAAGCCACAAUUCGUAGCUAGGAUACGACCAUAGGUGAGAAGAAGAACCUGAGUUGGUAAUCUGUUCUUCGUAAUUAGCCGAAUCAAAAAUUGAAAUCGAGGAGCUAACGAGGAGUUCCAGAUGAAAGGAGCCCACUGAUUCGAAAGGCUUCUUGGGCGUAUGUUAUCCCAAGCUGAAGCAGCAGUAAAGUUGCCAAAAGGGCUGCCCAACCAGUGGAAUUAAUCAGGUUCAUCAUUAAGUUCAGGAAGGGGGUCAUCCCAGGAGUUGAUCACUUCCAACACGCCCGAAGUGGGAUCCAAAAAAUUCAAAAAAUCGGCAACAGAUGCUCCUUUAGGAAGCUGAGAGCGAUAAAUAUCUGCAUUGGUAAACAAUAAGUUAAGCGGCCCUUUAGGAGUUGUCAAACCAGAAAGAGAUGGAGCAGUCAUUCCCCACAUGCCAGGAAAAGGAUUUGCGGAAGUCGCCACGGAGGUCUAGGAUUUUCUUCCAAGACCAGGAGCAACAGGUAGGUUUUGAGGUAAACUAGAAGUUUACAUUCUUCAAAAAGACUGAGUGAAUCCACUUGCACCAAAGAGAUUCCCUGUCUGUGAAUAACAACCAUAUGUGCUUUAACAUGGCAGCUGUGUUACUUUCUCGAAGUCUGCGGAUUCCCAAGCCACCUUCAGACUUAGGAAGGCAAGCAUCAGACCAAGCAACCUUAGCACCACCCAUUCUGAGGUUAGGACCCUUCCAAAGGAAUUGUCUCAAGAUUCGCUCAAUGUCAUACAACACCGAUCUCGGUAAAAUGAACACAUUUGCCCAAUAAACUUGAACAGAGUGGAGCACUGACCUAAUGAGUUGCAACCGGCCUGCAAAAGAGAGGAAGUGUUGUGUCCAAGUUUGCACUCUUGAAGUGAUGAUGUUAACUAAUGUGAUACAGUCAACUUUGCGAAGCCUGGAGGAGAUGACUGGAAUUCCAAGAUAUCAGAAUGGUAGGGAUCCUUCCUGAAAUCCAAAAAGUGUGAUGAAGGCGUCACGGGAUUCAAGGGAGACCCCUAAAAGUAGAUCUCACUUUUGUGGAUGUUCGGUUGAAGCCUUAACCAUUGAGAAAAUUUAUCCAAUCCUGCUUUAAGAAGAGAUAGAGUUGGCAUAGAGGCCCCAACAAAAAGCAACACAUUGUUGGCAAAAAAUAAAUGAGAGAGUCUAGUCGAUUUACAUCUCCAGAAAAAUUGGAACAACAGGUGAUUAGUUUGCAUAUUCAUUAUGUCAGUGAAAACUUCCAUGACAAACGUAAAAGGUAAGGCGACAUUGGAUCACCUUGUCUAAUACCUUUGCCACUAGGAAAAAAUCCAUGCAAUUCACCAUUCAGGGAAAUAGAGAAGUGUGGUGAUCGAACACAUGUCAUAAUGAGAUGAAUGAAAUGGAGGGGAAACCAGAAAGCUUGAAGCAUUACCUCCAGAAAAUCCCAAUUUAGUGUGUCGUAGGCAUUUCGGAAAUGAACUUUGAUGGCGCAUUUAGGCUUAUAUGGCUUGAUGUGAAACCCCGCAAAUGGCUCCUGAGCUAGAAGGAUGUUGUCGCUAAUCUAUCUUCUUUUGACAAAUGCAUUUUGAACAUGGCUAAUAAUGGAAGGCAUAACAACCGCCAUACGGUUUGCAAUAAUCAUAGUUAUGCAUUUAUACACCGUGUUGCAACAAGCAAUCGGUCUGAAAUCAUUUACCGUAGUAGCAUUGGGGCAUUUGGAUAUAAGAGUAAGGAUAAUGUUGUUAGAUUCCUUCAGAAGCUUACUGGUAGAGAAAAAAUCCUUGAUCGCGCAAAUAACCGAAGGGCCAACAAUAUCCCAGCUAUGUUUGUAAAAUUCCACACCAAAACCAUCAGGCCCAAUGCCUUUCCAGCAGCUAGGGAAAAUAGGGAUUCCCGUAUUUCAGUAUCCAAUACAGGUCUUGAGAGGUGGAGGAUGUGGUUAUCGUCCAGCUCUCGAGGAAUUACCGAACGGACAUCUUGUAUUGAAGGCACGGUGGAGAGAGGCGAAUAGGCCAAAAGAUCCCAGAAAUGAGAAACUUAGUAGUUGCUGGAUUUGUGGAGGGUCUUGAACCAAGUUCCCUGCAUUAUCUGUAAGAGAAAGAAUUCUAUUGAGAAGAUGCUUCCUAUUUACCAAAUGGUGGAAGAAUUUGGUGUUAAGGUCACCCUCUUCAAACCACUUCACUCGAGAUUUCUGUUUGUAGAAACUUUCUUCUUGAAGACAGAGGUCGGAGAAGAUAUUAAUGCAUUCUCUUUCACGAGCCGCAAGUUGUAAAUUGAAAGGAUCAAGAUGGAGAGAAAAAAUCCUUGAUCGUGCAAGUAAUCGAAGGGCCAACAAUGUCCUAGUUGCUUGUUUCUUGAUCUCCUGAUGAUUCUUGAUUCUUGUUCUUGCCGUGUGUGUUUGUAUCUUCAAUCCUUCCUUUAGUGAAACAGUUUGAUGUUCGUUUUCCCUCUCUGCAUUGGUGGAUUUGUGUCGUUGUGUGUGGGCGAACUUUGCAUUUGUGGGAUUGGUUUUUGCUCCCCGAAGCCGUCCGUUCUUUUCUCCUUGCUGCUAGGUCGGGGAGAGAAAGAGAGAGAGAAGGAUUAUCCCGCAUAGUGUUUUUUUUUUUUUUUUUUUUUUGAGGGAAUGGAGAAUGUGAAGUUAAGCUUCUGCAAUUCCUUGGUCUAUGAGAUGAUUCAUAGCUUCCCUUCCAUUUUAACAUAAUGAUGCUUUAGUAGCUAUUCUUCAAAAGGAGCAUUAGCGGUUAAUUACUGGCCAUGAUGAUCUUGGCUCACAUAAUAUAUCAUCCUCGCUUCAUUCCAUAGUUUUUGUCUGCAUUAGUGCGUCAUUUUCAGAGGGGAUCCAAUUGGGGCAUCCUUGAGCUUUUUCUUUUGUUGGUCUUUCUGUCUAGUUGAUGAAAUGUUUUGCUGAAGCAACCCACAUUCAUUGAGUUCAAGGGCUCGGACAUUUUCACUUUUGCAAACAGGGUUGACAUGAACCGUCUUUUUAAACUACAUUCGUGUAUCCCUUGUCAUGAAGAUGUGCUUGGAUCUUGGAAUUAGCUUCGUGAGUAACUCUUGUUGUUUUGCUUCAUCAGGUUCUUGGAAUUUUUACCAUUACGUCACCGUAUUGAAAAAAGCAACUUCUUCUGAUCUUUGAAAAUGUUUGGAUUUUUAAAUCACCGGUGAAUAAGGUUUCCAAUCAAAACUCUGUGGACCUUCCAUCUUCAGGAAAAAAUCCUUUUGAUUCCGAUACUGAAUCUGACACGAAAUCUACCAUUAAACCUUAAAGGCGAGCAAACUCAGAGCCCGUGCUCAUUGUGCCAAAUCUCGGUGGAAUUCCUUUCGAUGAUGAUAAGGGACGAAGAGGAGCGACUUUCAGGUUCAUCAACAGCACGGGAUGAAUACAGGAACGACUUUCAUGAAUCAGGAGGGCUAGAGAAUCAGAGCGUUCAAGAAUUGGAGAACUAUGCCGUGUACAAGGCGGAGGAGACUACAAGUACUGUCAACAACUGCCUUAAGAUUGCUGAGGAUAUAAGAGAGGAUGCCACGAGGACCCUUGACAUGUUGCAUAAUCAGGGCGAGCAGGAGGACCCACGAAAUGGUUGCCGAUACAGAUAAGGACUUGAGCAAGAUAUUGUGAACUUGGCACGCUAAGAAUAUGAUCUAGAAAAAUAUGGCCACAAUUUUCUGCUGUCUGGUACUUUAUCAGUUUCUUUAUAUAACAUUCUGUUUUUCAUCCAGAUGACACCUCGAUAUUGUUUCUUGAGCGACUUCUAUUUUCAUUAUUAAUUAUUACCCAUACAUUGUUUUGGUGAAUACCAGGGGGAAAAGCUCUGAGGAAACCUUGGAGGAAUGUUCUCUAAGACUUGGAAACCGAAGAAGACCCGAGAAAUUUCAGGGCCCGUAGUUACAACAGGUUUCUUACCCAAUUGCUUUGUCGUGGUUUCUUUAUUUAAAUGUACGCACAGCUUUUCUGAUGAAACUUGAGUAUUUGUACUUUCCACGACGAUUACAUCAACUCAUCGGCUCUUUCCUCCUGGCACGACAGACAAUUCAUCUAAAAAAGUGACAAAAAACAGAGGGAGAAGUUGGGGUUGGCUCCUGUGCCAAAAGGAAAAGGGACUACUCGUACUCCUCCGCCUGAACCAACAAAUGCAUUGCAGAAAGUCGAGGUUUGUGGUUCAACGAGUUUGUUUCCCUCAAAUAGCAGUCUUUGAGCAUCUGUUCACAAGGACUUUUCGGACGGCAGGUUGAGAAGGCAAAGCAAGAUGAUGCGUUAUCAGAUCUUAGCAAUGUCUUAGGUGACCUGAAGAAUAUGGCUGUUGAUAUGGGAGGCGAACUUGACAGGUCUGAAUAUGUCCUAACUUAUAUUCAUAUGCUUUCCUACUUGACCUAUUUAAAUGUGCCUGAACUGAUACACUUCUAGCUUUGAGAUUGAAGUUUGAUCAAGAUAAUUUUCUGGUUUGGUGAAGUUUUGCUUCUUUGCCCUUGUCACAUUCUCUUAUAAAGGCAUAGGUCUUUACUUAUAGAGCUAAUGUGGUGCGUACAGGCAAAACAAAGCUCUCGACCAUCUAGGUGAUGAUGUGGAUGAGCUGAACUCUCGAGUGAAAGGGGCCAACCAACGUACUCGUCGUCUGCUUGGCAAAUGAAGGGAGAGCAAGAGCAGGCUUCUUUAUUGUGCAUUUCCUCUGAUUUGCCUUCCCAUAGCUGUUGUAGUGUGUUCUCCCUCUUUCUUUCACCAAGCCGAAAACGAAGAAUUUUGUUUGAUAGCUUGUACCGCACCAGCAAUUGAAAUAAACUAAUCAGCAAAUGAAAUAAACUCAUCUUUCUGCAAAUUGAAUUAUUGUUUGGUGAUCUUUCGGAUUCCUGAAUUUCUUGCUACUUGUAUAUAUAUUUAGCCCAUAUGUCGGUACUCAAUACGGGUGGAGAUGAACAGUAGACAUCAUAAUUUGUAAAAUCAAUGCCCCAAACGACCAAACAGCAUAUUCAUAUGCUGAAGGUGGUUCCAGACAAUGCAUCAAAUACACAAUGGACAAAACCUAAAAACAUAAGACAGGAGUGUAGAUAUAUUAGUUUGAGUGGCAUUCUCUAUGAUUCCCUCCUCUCUUUUUUAUUGCAAACUGUUGUCCAACCAAUAAUUUUUUACAAGACCAUGGCCUGAACCGAAGUAAUAAGACACAAGUCUCCCUUGACAAAGCUGUAACAGCAAAAGAAUGCACGAUGACACCGGGUAGCAUCUCCAAGUUGAGCUAUAAAAUGGAGAAAGCGAACAAAGAUGAGAGACGAAUGGUCUGUGAAGAUGAAGAUGAAGAUGAAGAAAUGAAUCAAGAUACAGAGGAAUCAGCAAAGGAAAUACUUUGAAUCACUCUAUUUCAAUAUGAUUGUAGUACAAAGCUUCUGUGUAUCAAUGACAGCUUAUGAAUACAAAUCCUCUGUUUUACAUCCCCUGUUUCUAUCUCUCUAUCACAGCACAUAUCAGUUUAUACAAUGCAGAGCAUCCAUUGAUGAUUGCUCUCUAAGUUCUCUCUCUCUCUCUAUAUAUAUCUAUUUUUCUUCUCUGCUUUGCUUACUUAUCCAUCGAAGAAGAAGAAGACUACUUAUAUCAGAAAAGAAUAACAAACUGAAUACAACUAACUAUUUCUUAAUUUGUUUCACCACUCUAAACCGAAUAACAGCACGUGUGUCAGUUGAGAUCUACAUCACGAGCUCUUCACCGUUGAUCAUCGGCUCAUUGGUACUUUCCCGUUUUUGUUUUUCCCACGUGUUCUUUGCUUCGCUUUGCUGCUCCGUAUAACUCUUUCUCUCCAUAGUUCUUUCUCUUCCAGCAUCAGUGUUAUCUGCUGAAUUUAUAGUGGCUGAAUGAAACUUUGUUCCUAUAUGCUUAACAUGGUUUUCCUCUGAGAACGCUACCACGUCACAUCAGUUCCAAGAUUUGCAUAGACAUCAAGUCAGGGUGGCCGAUAAUAUGCUUAUAAACAGGCAGAGUGGCAGGCAAUGUGUUAUGAAGAACAUUUAGUGUCAUUCUUAAUAAUUUCCAAUUGGUUAUCUUUACGAGAAGUCAGAAGUGCAUAUUGUUGCAAAAUAAAAGUUCAGACAUGUACUGGCCGCUGAGUCUCAUUCCUCUAUAGAAGCUACCCAAUCUUAUGGCUUAAUGUACAUUGUCGAGAAUUAUACACAAGCUUCUAUUAUUCAUUCUACAGAGGGAAUGAAUGAAUUCAGUGCUUGUUUCUCACAUAUAAUUUACAGUAGAGAUUCUAGCAAAGUCAGUGCUUCCCUAAUUUGAAGAAUAAAAACAAAGGCGUCACCAUUCAUCAUUUCUUGUUCAUGCUGAAAUACAAGACUUAGGCAAUGUUUGUUUGUGUUCUUAUUUUUUGUUCAUGAAUAGAAUUCUUGUUUCUUUGUUCCGAGGAACAAAAGAAGAAUAGAAAUGCUUUCGUUUGCGGAUUUGUUCAAAAUCUAUUUUUUUGUUCCCGAGAACAAAUUUGGAACAGAAACAAGAAACAAAAAAAACUUAUUUAUUGUUUCUAAAACAAUUUGGAGAAACAAAUUUUCUCUUUCUUCUUUCUUUUCUUUUUCUUUUUUUCUUCUUUUUUCUUUGACCAGUCGCCGGCCGUCGAGGGCCACCGACCUCGCCGAAGAGUUGCCGGCCCUGGGCAAGGUUCGGCCUCGCCUUGGCGAGCUCACCUAGCCACCGGCGAGGCUCAGCCUCGCCGAGCCACAACCAGGCGAUCAGUGGCUGGGCGAGGCUGCCGGCCCACAUCUUCUUUAUUCCCAGAACAAGUUUACCAAAUGCGUUUUUCUGUUCAAAAAUUGUUCCGGAAUCUAUUUUAGUUUCCUGGAACAAUUUUUAAACAGAAACGUUAUCAAACACACUCUUAUUCUGAAGUUCAGUACUUUUCAAGACAUGAAGAGGUGUAGAAGAUACUAAACGUUGUAAAUAUAUAGAGGAGAGAAGUCGUAUCUUACAAAACUUCCUACCAAGGAAGCAUCCCACCUUCCACCAUACCAAUACGAACACCUGAGUGCUUGCAAGUACAAUAUACUGAGAUAUUAAAGAAGAAAGCACCAUCUGCCUCUUCCAUUGACCAGCAUAACAAUUUACGGUCUUCAUACAUCAUCGCUCUUCACAAGAGUCCAGCUUCCUCUUCCAUUGCCCAGCAUAACAAUUUAUGGUCUUCAUAAAUCAUCGCUCUUCACAGGGGUCCAGCUCCUUUGGGACGCAGCUUCUCUCCUGGCAUGUAAAAUAUAACCAAGAAUAUACCCCACGAAUGCUCCAAGCACCAACACGCACGCACCUUUAACAAACCACGAGAAAAAGGACUCAGGUGCCUCUAUGUUAGGUUCAGCACCACUAGUACCACUGUUAAGAACCUCUCCAGAUGCCAGAAUUUCCACUGUGUCAUGCACCUGGCCAUCAUGAUUUCCGAUAUAAGAAAGCACAAGCUUCUCCCUAGUAGCUACCAACCUAGUGUACCCGAACUCACCCCCUCGGUACAAUGACCUUUGAGGUUGUGGGUAAAUAGGAUCAGUCAGAUGAUCUGGUCUGGGCUGCCAGAUGGAUUGCCAAUCUUGGCCCGCCAUUCCAAGCACAAUGUGAAUUGGCAGUGCCUCCCAAUUAUCCUUGGCUGGAUCUGUACUUCCACAGGUGAAGUUAUUAAUUGGACAAAACCUUUCAUAUCUAUGUACGUGGCCCCACAACACAAGGGUCACUUUAUUCUUCACGAGCAAAGGUUCUAAGUGCUGCAUCAUUUUCUCCCUAAUGGGUCUAUCAUUAGAUUCAUAGCUUGUCGUGUACAUUGGUCUAUGCCCUUGAACUAUCACAAAAGGAGUCUUCUUCCGAUCCACCGAUUCCAAAUCAGCCUUUAUGAAAUCGUACUGCUUGCUUCCAGGAAGAAAAUUAGUCUCGGUAGACAUGUAAAGAAAGUGGAUCACUCCCAUAUCAAAUGAGUAGUACAGGUUCCGGGUGGCCGGGGCCUUCAUUCCAGUGGGUUCUGAGGAAUUGCCAGGCAUGUUGAACCUAAGGCUGUAAGGUACUCCACAUUCACCUCCCCCGUCUGUUCCAUAUAUCGUUCGGGCCCAUUCGGGCUUCCAAGGUUGCGAUGGCCAAUCAUACUCAUGAUUGCCAAUACACACAUGGUAUGGAACUUGGGCAGCGACGGGCUCGAUCUGAGUGAAGAAAUGGUCCCACAACCAAGAGUAACCUCUUGCAUAGCUGAUAUCUCCAAUGUGAGACACAAAACUU
Molecule: long non-coding RNA, 12590 nt
Filed under: Eucalyptus grandis
Lineage: Eukaryota; Viridiplantae; Streptophyta; Magnoliopsida; Myrtales; Myrtaceae
Description: long non-coding RNA (EGRA_LNC001072)
Source: RNAcentral